RNAcentral lists this long non-coding RNA (14181 nucleotides) under Physcomitrium patens. RNAcentral's name for it is "long non-coding RNA (PPAT_LNC007678)". Lineage: Eukaryota; Viridiplantae; Streptophyta; Bryopsida; Funariales; Funariaceae. The record is from RNAcentral.
UUGAUUAGGAUUUAGGAUUUGGUUUAGGAUUUAAGGUUUACUUAAGGUUUGAUUUAGGAUUUAGGAUUUAUGAUUUGAUUAGGAUUUGGUUUAGAAUUUAGGAUUUGGUUAAGGAUUUGAUUAGGGUUUGGUUUAAGGUUUGGUUUAGGAUUUGGAUAGAAUUUGGUUUAGGAUUUGGUUAAGGUUUGAUUUAGGAUUUAAGGUUUGAUUUAGGUUUUAGAAUUUGGUUAGGAUUUAAUUUAAGAUUAAGAUUUGAUUAAGGUUUGAUUUAGGAUUUAAGAUUUGAUUUAGGGUUUAAGAUUUGAUUUAGGAUUUGUUAAGAUUUAAGAUUUAGUUAGUUUUGGCCUAAAGUUUGAAUGAAGUCCAAUGGGAUUUUAACUAGGAUUAAAUUAAGAUUGAAUUGAGGUAUAUUUGAGAUAUAUUUGUGAUCAUUCUAAUAUUUCUUUAAGAUUUCUUAUUAUUUCUUUGAAAUUUCUUUGAGGUUUUUUUGAAUUUUAUUAAAUCUUGCUUAGCAUUAUUAUGGUCUAAUUAGAGCAUUGUUAGUAUUCUAUUAGAAUUAAGAUUUUAUUGUUAUAAUUUCCAUUCUAACUUCCAUAACCAAGUGUCCGGAGCAUUCUCAAGCAAGACUUCAUGUAUUACGACACCGAUGUCGUGUUGUGAUUCGGCUAAUAUAUGAAAAUAAUGUAAUAAUGUAUUUAAUAUAUAAUUUAUUAAGUAACAUGGUGAGAGCCAUGUUAGUAGAUUUUAGUUGGUUGUAGGAUAUAAUUUGAUUAUUACUUUGAAAAGAGGUUGUUUAGAGAGAUUAUUAUAGAAUUUGUAUAACUUUAAUUUCCUUUUGAUAGUGGCUUUUAAGAUUGGUUUUGGUUGAUAGUAACUUCUAAAUAUUUAGAGUCACCUUUAUUAGACAUUGGUGACAUUUGAAAACUUAUUUUGGUUCUUUUAUUUGAUGUUUAGAGCAUACAUUAUGUAAAUCUUAUAAGAAAAAGGAUUGAAGAAGGAUUUUGGUAGAAAAGGGAGAAAUUAGGGCACCAAUAUAGAUGAAUGGAGAUGAAAAAUAAAAAUCUCCAUUCCUAUUGGUCAAAAAUCAUGACCAAUGGGCUUUGAGAAGGCUGCCCGAGGCCAUAUUAGGGAUUAGGGUUAGAUUCUCGAGGCCAUUCGAACUUUGAAGGUUACGGUUAGAAGGUUUAGGUUUUUGGUUAAGGUUUUGGUACAAGUUUUGUGUCAUUUGGGGUUUUUAUGAAGAAGUUAUAGGCGCUCAAAGUUAAGGUGUUAGUUUUGGACCUACUGUCACUCUUUUGGGCAUAACGCAAGCGUACGGAUGGCAAUUGAGGAUCGGCGACUACGAAUGGAGAGAGCACCUUUGCGGCUAUACUUUUCACAUAUUGCUUACUGGAUUCCAAAUUGGAAUGAAGGAGUUAUUGGAUUUUGAAGUCAGCACAUGCAAUCUAAGGGUAGUAAGUAAACAGAUUUACUAGUGUUCGUCUCUUGAGCUAUAUCUUGAGCAAUUUUGAGAGGUUUUGGCUCAAAAUUUCAAGGAAUGUAUAAUUUUAUGUUAGUAAACUUUGUGCAUAAGUUUUAUGACAUUUGGAGUUCGGGUUUUGAGAUAUAAGGAAAAUAAUUUUUGGGUGCUUGUAAAUUAGGGUUUGGAGUGUCUGCUAGGGUUUCUUAGAUGUCAGAAGAUCGGGAGUGAAUUUGCGGUUGGUUUUUUUUGUGGUAAAAUUUAAUGGUAAAUUCUACCUAUCUUGUAAAUUUGAAACAAACUGAACGGUUAGAUCAAUAGUUAUGAUUUUCUAAAAUGCGGGGCAAGAAAAUCCUUUGCGGGAAAAAUAUGUUUUGAAGGGAUUUCGUUACAUUUGGAGUUUUAUACAAAAAUAAAGGAGUUUUCGAAACCAAGAAAAGAAUCAUAUAAAGGUUUAAGGUACACUCUCUACAGCUAGAUACCCAGUGUAUUCCCAGAUAGCAAAUCAUGCCAUACGACACUGGCCUCCUUCUUCAACCUUGAUGCCAAUCUCCGAGAGCCAAUAUCUCUCUUUUUCACCAUUCGAUUGAUCUCAAAAUUCUCAUACACAUAGAAAAACAAGUCUAAUAUCUUAUCACAUAAAUUUCAUUCCAAUCUAACUAGUAGAUUGCAAGUGUGAGUCAUCAGAUUGACUCUCUAGUUGUUUUAGGACAAAAGAAUGCAUGUAGAGUGCCAAAAUUACAAUUAUUAGGUAAAGAUGGACUUAAAAGAUGUUAAAGAAAGCAGAAUAGUAUUAGUUGAGAAGAAAUGGAGUCUUAUUAAGUCUUGGAGGUAAUUAUUUUAGUUGGUUUAGUAUUUUUACUUAUUAUUGAGGAGUAAGGAUUAGUUACUAAAAUUAAUAUUUAUAUUGAUCUUAUAUCUAUAUGUAUUACUUAUAAAAAAACUAUAAAUGUUAGAUAGUAGUUAAAAGAAGCAUGAAAAAGAACCUCAUAUCUUUUUAGUUAUUUAUAUAAAAAGUAGAAUUUAUAGUAUAUUUAAAUUGAUUCUAUUACUAUAAAAAAUCAAUAAUAUAGGAAAUUAUAUCCUUAAGUUGCUAUUAGCAUUAUAAAAACAUUAUAGGAAUUUUUAGAAUUUAUUUAGAAAUUAUUUAAAAUUUUUAGUAGAUUCAAAUUGAUUUUUAUUACUAUAAAAAAUCAUCAAUAUAGGGAAUUAUAUCUUAAAAUGGAUAUUAGAAUUAUAGAAAUAUCAUAGGAAUUUUUAGAAUUUUCUAUGAAUUUUUAGGGUAAUUUUUAAGACCUUGGUAAAAUUGAGUUUUAUCACUUGGGGAGCCAUUAUGAAGAAAUGGAGUAAGGUUUGAAGGCUAUACAAUGCUUCUAGGCUAAUUGGAUGUUUUUGAACACCAUGGUGAAGUCAAAAUGCAAAAUUAUUAAUUCUACUAGUAGAAAAUAGGAGGAUCAGCAGCUCGUAUAGUCCUUGUAAGAAAGGAGGUGCACAAGUCCCAUGUGUGUUGUAGCACCUUGGAUGUAGGUAGGAUGAUAAGACUAAGGCCUCAAGGCCUCUUUAGGAAACCAAUAUAAACUACAUGUGAGCCUUAGUGAGGCUCGAACCCUUGAUCUAUAAGCAAGUUAUCCUUGAGGUAAAAUAUUUUCACUUCACUUUUUAAUUAUUUACUUCCUAUCUUUUUAAAACUUCAUAACUUACUCAUGGUAAUUCGGAUUUAUAUGUUUUUUAUGUCAUUGGAAAGAUAAUAAAAUUACCUAUCUAAAAAUUUAAUUUUUACUUUUUACUUUUACUUUUUACUAGGUGAAAAUACAGUGAAUAGAUUGUGACUUAGUUUUUGAUUGUGUACUAGCUUCAUGUCAUUCAUUUCAAUUGUUUUGUGGGUGUUCAUCUUUUGUUCUUGUUAAUUACUUACUUUCCUUUAUACCACCAAUUACAAGCAACUCUUAAUUGAGGCCAUCUUAUAAUUGGGGUUGAAGAGUGAAAUUUACACUCACAAUAAGAAAUCUUAAAAACUCUCUUUAAACCUAAAAUUCAACUUUCUAAGAUCUUGAUCCACUUAAACCUCAAUAAUCCUCAAUUCAACUCUUGGAUUGAGUUAAGAUUUACAAUACAUAUUAACCACAACUAUGACCAUUAAUCUACAAAAUUUUACUAGUAGAUAUGUUAUUAAAUUCUUGAAAUCACUAGAAACAUCAAUCCUAUUUUAUUUCACAAAACCUAAGUCAUCCAAAAACAAUCUUGACUUUGUAAAGCUCUUACAAAGUCAUAACAACUCCAAAACAUCCAAAAAUACUAUUCUAUAUUAUUUACAAUAGGGUUCAAAUUGUAAUAUAGAACAAUAGAUUGUAUGAGGUUCAAAUUUGAUAAAAAAGAUACAAUGAUAUCUUUUGUAUCAAAUUUGAACCUCAUACAAUCUAGUAUCUUUGCAUAGGUAAUGCAUUCAAAAGUCCUCAUGUAUGAAACACAAGGUUUCCUCCCACUCCAAGCUUCUUCAAGAGUUUUUGAUAUAAAUGCACUUGUAGGGCUCCUAUUCUUUAUAUACACUACUGUUACAAUGGCUUCUGCCUAAUACUCAAACCUAAGGUUUUGUGUAUGUAGCAUAUUCUUUGCUAUCUCCACAAUAGUGCGAUUUAUUCUUUCAGCAACUCCAUUUUGUUGUGGAGUGUAUGAAGUACAAGUUUAUCUUGCAAUGCCUUGAAUCUUCAAAAAAUCAUCAAAAUGCUUUGAUAUGUACUUAUCUCUAUUGUUUAUGUGUAAUACCUUAAUUUUGCAAUCACGUUGCUUUUCUACAGGUGCCUUAAACUCCUUGAAUCUAGAAAAGCACUCACUCUUACAUUUGAUGAUGUAAAUCUAUAUCUUCUUUAAAAAAUCAUCAAUGAAUGUGACAAAAUACCAUGCUCUUCCUAUUGAUAGUGUCUUCAUAGGUCCACAAAUAUCCGAAUGUACAAUCUCCAAUAACUUACUAGCACAUGUUGUUAUUCUACUUAGAAAUGAGAUCCUUUCUUAUUUACCUCGAAUACAACCUUCAUAAGCAAGAGUGUUGGCAUUGUAGCUAAAUUCAUCAAGAUUCAUUCUACUUACCAUGGAUUGGAGUUCCUUCAUACUCUUGAUAUUCAAAUAAUCAAGGCGUUGAUGCCAAAUACCAAAUUUAUCUUGAUCAAGUAAAAAUUUAGCAAAUACAACCACUUUCAAUUCCAUUCAUCAUCUUGCACUUGAUGAAGUAAAGGUUGUCAUAUCUAAAGCCCUUAGCAACAUCAUCUCCAUCCAAUGUCUUUAUAAAACAUCCAUUCUUAUCAAAUUGCACCUUACAAUCAUGUAAAAUAAAUUUACACACCUAGAGGAGAUUUUUCUUGAUUUUGGAUAAAUACAAGAUAUCCUUCAAUCUGAUCCUCUUUAUUUGUCCUCUCAUAAUAAUGUCCACUCCAAUGGAGCAUAUUCUAAUAGCUUGUACCAUGCCAUUGUCUUCUAUAAAAACAUUUGUUAUUGAAAUUUCUUUAUAAGUGUCAAAUGAAUACUUGUAUGGUGUCAUGUGCUUAGUGGCACCUAAGUCAACAAUCCACUUAGAUAUGGCAGCCAUGGAGGUGCCUUCACUUGCCAUGAAAGCAAAAUAAUCUCUUCCAAAUUGCUCAUGCAUAUUCUUCACACUUUUUCUAUCUCUUUUUUUGGCCUUGUAGCAAUUUGGUGCAAAAUGACCUGGUUUUCUACAAAUGAAGUAAAUUUCGACAUUACCUCAUUGGUAUGAAAGGUUGCUCUUGCUUUGACAUGAAAAGAGUACUGAAUCUUUACUUUGAGGCUCUUUUUCUUUUCUCUUGGUUACUUCAUGGGCAAGUCUUACCGUCACAUAGUCUAUUGUAAGUUCCUUCAACUUAAUGGACUCUAAUGUCACAAUCAGGUAGUUGUAGGACUCCAAAAGACUCAUUAACAAGGACAUGAUAAUAUCUCCCUCUUCUAAAGGCUUGUCAAUAAUUGCUAAUUGAUUUGCAAGGGCCUUUCUCUUAUUGAUAUGAGCCAUGAGAUCUUCACCUUUUUCCAUCUUGUAAGUGAAGAACUUCCUCCUUGUGAAGAUGAUGUUGGAUAAGUUCUUGCUCUCAUAUAUGUUGUAAAGAGUCUUCUAUGCUUCUACUGGUCUUUUGUAAGAGAUGAUAUGAAAAAAGUUGGCUUCAUCCAAAUCAAUGGAAAUUAUACCAAAAGCCUUAUUUUCACGUCUUUUGAAGUCCUUUCUCUCCUUAGCAUGUAUAUGUAUGCUUGGAGCCUCUUCACUUUCAUCUACAAUAUCCCAAAGAUCCAAAGAUGCCAACAAAAGAUCCAUUUUGAUCUUCCAAUGGUAGAAAUUUUCUCUUCUAAACUUCUCAAUUACUUUCAAAUCUUUAUCUUUAUUAGAAGCCAUGUCUAAGAAGGUCUCUAUCAAAAAAAAAUAUCAAGAAAAGGAGUCACUAUGAGCUUGAAAUCACCAAAAUAAUUUAACACUAGCAGAAUCUCAAAAUACCUUCUUGUGAUUAAAUGAGUACUUUUUCACUCAAAACAUAGUUAAUUCAAGCUUUGAAGCUUCUAAUAUGUAUGUGUAAUCCAAUAAACCUCACUCUCAUGAACUCUCACUCUUUAAAAUCAAUUAUUUUACUAUACAUACAAAGUAAGUAAAACAACAUCAGUAAAACAAAAGACACUAUCAAGGUCUUUCUAUAAUAUCUUAAACUCUCAAUCUUAGGAGAUAAGAAUCCACAAAGCAAUGUUAGAGAACUAUAAGAUCAAAAUCAACACCUCUUCAUGCCCUAAAUAUAAGUUUUAAUCUUAGAAAUCCUAACAUCAGUAAAUACUGUAAGAUCUAUUCUAUACAAGUACAACCACAAAAAAAUGAUACUAACUUACUUGAAUGGUACAACAAAGUGUAAGUGGAUCCAUAACCAAUUGAAGAAAUACAAUAAGCAAGACACAAGUAAGUAGAAAUCAGCAAGGUUGUAUAUAAGAGAAGUAUAAAAUGAGAUACCUCCCACUUUUAACAUCCUUUACUUAUAGGUGGUGAUUGCUAAUCAAGAAGACAAUUUCAAUCUUCUUGAUUUUACUUCCAUUUCUACUUCAUCCAACUAAAUCCUACUUUCUUUUUUAACUUAGCCGCCACCUAAAUCCUAACUGCCAUCUAAAUCCUAGCCGCCAUCUUAGUUACUUCCCUUCAUCCAUUUGCUGCCCUUUGACCAUUAGCAAUUAACCUAAGAUAAUACUUACUUACUCUAUCAUAUCUAUGGUAAUAUUUAUUUACUUUAAUAAUCUUCAAGAUCUUGAAUAUCUUCAUUACUAGUCUUAAGAAUUAUAGAGGCUUCCUUCUUCAUCUUCAUUCUUAUUAUCUUCAUUGUCAUUAUUAUUUUUUUCUUUUUUUGCUGAAGUUAAAGAUGUGUCUACAAAUACACUAUUACUUUUACUUAGAUACAUCUCCAAGUAUUCACAAGCACUCUUACGUUCCAAAAAUUCUAUAUCACAACUUUUGAUAAUCUUCUUGGUUUUCAAAACCAUUAGCCUAUAUGCCUUGGUAUCUUCACAAUAUCCAAUAAACACACAUUUUGUAUCUUUUGCAUCAAAUUUGGACCUCAUAUAAUUUGGUGCCUUUACAUAGGUAAUGCAUCUAAAAGUCUUUAUGUAUAAAAUAUAAGGUUUCUUCCCGAUCCAAGCUUCUUCGAGAUUUUUUGAUGUAAGUACACUUAUAAGGCAUCUAUUCGUUGUAUACAAUAUUACUACCAUGGCUUCCACCCAAUACUCAAAUCCAAGAUUUUGUACAUGUAGCAUAUUCUUUGCCAUCUCCACAAUUGUGUAAUUUUUUCUUUCAAUAACUUUAUUUUGUUAUAGAAUGUAUAGAGUAGAAAUUUAUCUUGAAAUGCCUUGAAUCUUCAAUAAUUCAUCAAAAUACUUUGACAUGUAUUCACUUCAUUAUUCAUGCACAACACCUUGAUCUUGUAAUUACAUUGCUAUUCUACAAGUGCCUCAAACUCCUUGAAAUUAGAAAAGCACUCACUCUUACAUUUGAUGAUAUAAAUUGACAUUUUUUUUGAAAAAUCAUCAAUAAAUGUGAAAAAAUACCAUGCUCUUCCUAUUGAUGGCAUCCUCGUAGUUCUACAAAUAUCCAAAUACACAAUCUUUAAUAACUUGCUAGCACAUAUUGCUACUCCAUUUGAAAAUGAGGCCUUUUAUUGUUUACCUUAGAUACAAUCUUCACAAAUAAGUAUAUUGGCAUUGUGGCUAAAUUAACUAAGAUUCAUGCUACUUACUAUGGAUUGGAAUUCUUUCAUAUUCUUGGCAUUCAAAUGACCAAGGCGUCGAUGCUAAAUACCAAACUUGUCUUAAUCAAGUGGAAAUUUAGCAAAUACGGCCACUUCAACUUCAUUCACCAUCUUGCACUUGAUGAAGUAAAGAUUGCCAUUUCUAAAGCCCUUGGCAAUAUCAUCUCUAUCAAAUGUCUUUAUAAAACACCCAUUCUUAUCAAAUUGCACCUAACAACCAUAUGAAAUUAAUUUACUCAGCCAAAGGAAAUUUUUCUUGAUUUUGGAUAAAUGCAAGAUAUCCUUCAAUCUAAUCCUUCUUAUUUGUCUUCUCACAAUAAUCUCUAUUUUAAUAGAAUCUAUUCUAAUAAUAGUUUUUAUCAUGCCAUUGUCUCCCAUAAAGACAUUUGUUGCUGAAAUUUCUUCAUAAGUAUCAAAUGAAUACUUAUAUGGUGUCAUGUGCUUGGUGGCACAUGAAUCAACAAUCCACUUGGAUAUGGCAGCUAUGGAGGUGCCUUCACUUGCUAUGAAAGCAAAAUAAUAUCUUCUAAAUUACUCAUAUAUAUUGUUGUCACAUUUUCUAUCUCUCUUUUUGGUCUUAUAGCAAUUUCAUGCAAAUGACCUAGUUUUCCACAAAUGAAGCAAGUUUUGACAUUACUUCAUUGGUAUGAAUGGUUGUCCUUACUUUGACAUGAAUAGAGUGUUGAAUCUUCAUUUUGAGGCUCUUUUUCUUUCUUCUUGGUUACUUUAUGGAUAAGUCUUGCGGUCACAUUAUCAUACUGUAUUUACUUAUAAUAUGUAAAAAUUAAUUAGAACAUAUAAUAUGUUUAUAAAUCUUGGUAUAUAUUAGAAUGAUUAAUAGAUUAAUUGAAAUAAAUUUGAUAUAAGAAACUUUAUUUUGAAUUUUAUCUAUUUUUAUUAUAGCAUUUAAAAAACAAUUAUAAGACCUAAAUGUCUAGUAUGAAGCCUUAAAAAGAGAUUAGAGCCUAAAAAUAAAAAUCUAAACUAUUAGUAGGCUUAUUUGAAGGGAUGAAAGUAAGGCAUGGUUGGAUGAAGGCAAGGAAUGAGGAUCUUCAUUCCUAUUGAUUGAAGGCCAUAUCCAAUGGACUUCAAGGAGACUAUUUGAGGUCUUUUUAGAGAUUAGGAUUUCUUUUCUAAAAGCAUUGAAGCUUUGGAAGCUAGAAUCAUCAAUUUUAGAUUUUUGAAUAUGGAUUGAAUAUAAAUUUUGUGUAAUUUGGAGUUUUUAUGAAGGAGUUAUUGGUGUUCAAAGUUAAGGUACCAAUUUCAUACCUACUUUUCUUCUUUGGGACAUAAAAUAUGUUUACAAAGAUCAACGAAGGAUUGGAGACUAGAAUUAAGAAGAAUACUUUCUUAAUUAUAGUUUUUAUAUAUUUUUUGAUGAAUUUGGAGUUUGAAUGAAGAAGUUAUAGAGGGUUGAAGUCAGCACAUCCAAAUCAAAGGUAGUAAAGAAGUGAUUUUAUUCAUGAUAAUGGUUGUAGCCAUAUUUUGAGUUUUUGAACAAAUUUUUGGCUCAAACCUUUUGAAGAAGGUAGAUUAUUGUGUUAAAAAGUUGUAUAUGUAAAUUUUGUGGCAUUUAAGUGCUUAUUUUAUGAGAUAUGAAGAAAAUUUCACAUGGAUAUAUAAAAACUAGGGUUUGAAGCUAUUGUUAGAGUUUUGGUGAUAUCUUAAGAUUAGGAUUAAGAAUUUGUAGUUGAAAUUUGUUGUGAUAGUUUUUAGAAGUACAUUAGUUAUUCAUAUAAAAUUUGAGUGUAUUUGAAUGGUCCAAUUGAAAGAUAUAAGUUUUUGAAGUUCAAGAAUAAUAUCUUAUAAAGAUAUAUAAGGAUUUAGAGUUCUUUUAAUCAUAUUUUAGAUAUUUUUAGGAACUUAAGACUUAUAUAUUUGGUAUAAAAGCUCCUAAAAGUAUUAUAUAUAUAUAUAUAUAUAUAUAUAUAUAUAUAUAUAUAAAAUUGAUCUUUCUUAUUUCAAGACUUGAUUGAGUAAUUAGUGGCAGCCAAGAGCCUAGUGUUUUCUUAAGGCAAACUCUCUCUACCCUGACAAUGUAUUCUAUUGUAAGUUCCUUGAAGUUGAUGGAUUCCAAUGAUGUAAUGAGGUAGUUGUGGGACUUGAAAAGACUUAUCAAUAAGAUCAUGAUAAUAUCACUCUCUUCUAAAAGCUUGUUAAUAAUUCCUAAUUGAUUUGUAUAAACUUUUACUUUAUUGACAUGAGCCAUGAGAUCUUCACCUUCUUCCUUCUUACAAGUAAAGAACUUCUUCCUUAUAAAGAUAAUGUUGGAUAAGUUCUUGCUCUCAUAUAUGUUGCAAAGAGUCCUCCAUGUUUCUACUUAUCUUUUGCAAGAGAUGAUGUGAGAAAAAUUGGCUUCAUCCAAAUUAGUGGUAAUUAUGCCAAAAGCCUUCUUUUCACAUCUUUUGAAGUCCUUCUUCUCCUUAGUAUUUACAUAUAUGCUUGGAGCCUCUUCACUUUCAUCUUCAAUAUUCCAAAGGUCUAAAGAUGCUAAUAAAAGUUCCGUUUUGAUCUUUCAAGGGUUGAAAUUCUCUCUUUUAAAUUUCUCAAUUACUUUCAAACCUUUACCUUUACUAGAAGCCAUAUUUAAGAAGGAUUCUAUCUAAAAAUAUCAAGAGAAGGAGUCACUAUGAACUAAAAAUCACUAAAAUAAUUUUACACUAGCAGAAUCUAAGAAUGCCUUCUUGUGAACAAAUGAGUCCUUUCUCAUUCAAAAUACUCUCAAUUCAAGUUCUGAAGCUACUAAUCAGUAUAUCUAUUCUAAUAAACUUCACUCUCAUAAACUCUCAUUCUUUGGAAUCAACUAUUAUCCUAUACACAUAAGGUAAGUGAAAAAACAUCAACAAAAUAAAAGAUACUAUCAAGGUCUUUCUAUAACAUCUUUAACUCUCUAUUUUAGGAGAUAAGAAUCCACAAAGUAAUAUUAGAGAUCUAUAAGAUCAAAGUCAGUACCUCUUCAUAUCCAAAAUACAAGUUUCAAUCUUAGAAGUCCUAACAUCAGCAAAUAUUAUAAGAUCUAUUCUACACAAGUACAAUAAUAAGAAAAUGAUAUUAACUUACUUGAAUGGCACAACAAAGUAUGAGUGGGCCCAUAACUUAUUGAAGAAAUAUAACAAACAAAAAAUAAAUAAAUAAAAAUCAGCGAGGUUGUACACAAGAGAAGUAUAGAAUGAGAUGUCUCUCACUUCUAAUACCUUUUAUUUAUAAAUAGAGUUUAUAUCUAUUAUAAGUAAACUUCAUUUUCAUCCAACUUUGCUUCAUCUAAUGAAAUCUUAGCCAUGACUUAAAACUUUAGCCGCCACCUAAAUCCGAGCUACUAUCUUACUUACUUUCCUUCAUUUUUUUGUUGCCCUUUAACCAUUAGUUACUUAUCUAAGAUAAUACUUACUUAUUUUACCAUACCUAUGAUAAUACUUAUUUAUUAUAAUACAAAUUGUGGCCUACAAUCUGUUACAAUGUCACCUAGAAACCUAUAGUAAUAAUAGACAUUAUCAAUAAAGAGUCUUACCAUCUCUCUAUCAAUAAUUGAUUUCUUAUAAGGAUAAAAUAUGUCAUCUUGUUCUUCGAUCAAUAGCUACAAAGAUAGUAUUAAAUGAGCUUGAUGAUAGAAGAUUUGUAAUAAAAUCCAUGGAGAUAGAUAACCAUGGUUGUCUUGGAAUAGGAAGGGAUUGAAGGUUCUUUGACCUUGAACAAGUAUCAUAUGAUAGUGUAAAUUCCUUAACGUCUUUCCACAUUUUAGGCCACCAAAAGUCUCUAGACAAAAAUUUUAAGGUCUUGUUGAAUCCAAAAUGACUAGUUGUGGGAAAGUCAUGAUAUGUUUGAAGAAUGCACAUGUGAGUUGGCUCUUUGGAAAUGAACAAAUGUUCUUCAAAGAAUAAGAAGUUGCCUUUAACCUUGAAUUUAGAAGAUUCUUCAAGAAGGUUGUUGACAAGAAGCUUGAUAUUAAGAAUAAGAGGGUCCGUGGUUGAGGCCUUAUGAAUCUAAUCAAGAAAUGAUAAAUCCACAAGCAUUGAUAUAUUUGUUGCUUGAAGAUGAAAUUGCUUAAGCUUUAAUAAGGUUGCAUGUUAUUGAUCAUAUGUUGUCUUGUCUUCUUUUGGUUGAAGGUAGGAAUAUCUUGAUAAUACAUUUCAUAAUCCUUGUUGGCUCUCAGGUUGAUAUAUGAUGCAAAAGUCAAAUUAUGAUAAAAAUACAUUCUAACGUGUUUGGCAAUGAUUCAAGAUUCAAGCUAACAUGAAGUAUUCAAGAUUCUUAUGAUUUGUAUAUACAACCACUUGAUGAGAAGUGCCUUCAAGAAAAAGGUACCAUUCUUGAAAAGAAUCUACAAUGAUAAGCAAUUAUUUAUCAUGGAUUUCAUAGUUGAAUUUACUUUUGAAAAUUUUCUAGAAUAGAAUGCAAUUAAAUGAAAUUUGCCAUUUUUUCUAUGAUGCGACAAGAUUGCUUCCAAUGCAAAGUUUGAGGCAUCAGUUUCCAUAAAGUAGGGCUUGUUGAAAUUGAGAUGUAUUAAAAUUAGAGCUGUUGUGGAAGCAUCUUUUAAGAAUUAAAAAGCUUUCUUUGCUUUAAGGCCCUAAUCUAGCUUAUCCUUAUAUUUCAAUUGAAUAAGUGGAGGAGCAAUCUUGAAAUAAUAUCUAACAAAAAUCCUAUAGAAGUUUACAAAUUCAACAAAGAAUUAGACAUCACAUAUAGUUUUUGGCUUUACUCAAUCGAUGAUUGCUUGUACCUUCUUUAGAUCCAUAAAUAGGCCUUUGUUGGAAAUAAUAUAUCCAACAAAUUUAACUUGAAGUGCAUGAAAUACAUACUUCUUUAAUUUUGCAUAUAGCCAAACACUUUGUAGCUUUUUCAACAUAAGAUGAACAUGUUUUUUGUGGUCUUCUGGUAUUGUAUUGUAACAUGACUAUAUGGUGAAAGAUGAUAAUAUGGAUCUUAUUAUAGAAGAGCCAAGUUAAAAGAUAAAGUAGAAAAAUAUAGAUAAAAGAUAGAGAGGUAGUAAAACUUUUAGUAGUAAUGCUACAUUUUUAGAAAAGUGACUUCUACUUACUUUGUAGGGCCAUAAAUAAGGCAAAACAAAGUAGAUUGGAAAAAUAAAUGAUAUAAACAUCUUUAGAAGAAAGUUAAGAGUAAAUUCGAGCAAAAUCUACUUAGAAAAAUUAGAUAUUGAUACCUAGAGAGAGCCAGUUAUGAACCAGGGUUGAAAUCAGACCCUGAGACACAAAAUUGAGUCUUGACGACAACUCUCGGACUCUUUGGUAGUUCAAAGAAUAGGAUUUGAUAGAAGAUUGAAUAAGGUUUCUAUGAGCAUUGUUUUUGGGUGAUUUGUAUUUGUAUUGACUUUCUAAGAGCUUUGCAAAGUCAAGGUUUUUUUUGGAUGACUUGGAUUUUGAGAAAUAAAAUAGGGUUUAUAUUUUGGAUGAUUUCAAGAGUUUUAUAAUAGAUCUAUGGAUAAAUUUUUUUGGAUUAAUGGUUAUAGUUGUGUUCAAAAUAUUUUAUAAAUUUGAGCUCGAUCUAACGGUUGAAUUGAGGGUUAUUGAGAUUUAAGUGAGUCAAGGUCUCAGAAAGUCGAAUUUUAGAUCUAGUGAGGAUUUUUAAGAUUUCUUGCAAUUUAAUAGUUGGAUUGGAGUGAAAUUUGUGUGACAGGAUGUAAGACUUGUUUUUUUAUGUAUAUGAUAAUUUUAAGAUCAAUCGAAUGGUAUAAACAAGAGAUAUUGGCUCUGAGAGAUUGGCAUCAAGGUUGGAGAAGGAGGCCGGCCAAUAUCCAAGCACGUUUUUGAAGUUAUCAGCUAUUUGUUAAUUCUGAUUCCUUUCAAAAAUUGUGUGCUUAUUUUUAACUUAGUUUUUAAGAAGUGUAAAAAAUUUGAGUUAAGAUCAAUGAUUCAUUUAUUAGUUAUUGAGGUUUAAUUUUGUUAUAGAAAUUACUAGGAUUUGGUUAGGAUUUGAUUUAGGGUUAGGAUUUGAUUAGGGUUUGAUUUAGGGUUCAAGGUUUGGUUAAGGUUUGAUUUAGGGUUUAGGAUUUGAUUAAGAUUUGGUUUAGGAUUUAGGAUUUGAUUUAGGAUUUAGGGUUUGGUUGGAAUUUGGUUUAAGGUUUGGUUUAGGAUUUAGUUUAGGAUUUAGGAUUUGUUUAGGAUUUGGUUUAGGAUUUAGGAUUUGGUUAGGGUUUGAUUUAGGAUUUAAGAUUUUAUUAGGAUUUAUUUAGGGUUUAAGAUUUAAUUAGUUUUGAUCUAAAGUUUGAAUGAAGUCUAAUAGGAUUUUAACUAGGAUUAAAUUAAGAUUGAAUUUAAAUGUAUUUCAGAGAUAUUUGUAAUCAUUCUAAUAUUUCUUUAAGAUUUCUUAUUGUUUUUUUGAAAUUUCUUUGAGGUUUCUUUGAAUUUGAUUAAAGCUUUUUUAGCAUUAUUAUGGUCUAAUUAGAGCAUUGUUAGUAUUCUAUUAGAAUUAGAAUUUGUUGUUAUAAUUUCUAUUCUA